The sequence is a ribosomal RNA, 437 nucleotides long. It matches the Rfam family "Bacterial small subunit ribosomal RNA", at positions 341 to 792 of the family's 1533-position model.
ACGGGAGGCAGCAGUGGGGAAUAUUGGGCAAUGGGCGAAAGCCUGACCCAGCAACGCCGCGUGAAGGAAGAAGGUCUUCGGAUUGUAAACUUCUUUUAUGAGGGACGAAGGACGUGACGGUACCUCAUGAAUAAGCCACGGCUAACUACGUGCCAGCAGCCGCGGUAAUACGUAGGUGGCGAGCGUUAUCCGGAUUUACUGGGUGUAAAGGGUGUGUAGGCGGGACUGCAAGUCAGAUGUGAAAAUUACGGGCUCAACUCGUAACCUGCAUUUGAAACUGUGGUUCUUGAGAGUCGGAGAGGUAAAUGGAAUUCCUGGUGUAGCGGUGAAAUGCGUAGAUAUCAGGAGGAACACCGGUGGCGAAGGCGAUUUACUGGACGACAACUGACGCUGAGACACGAAAGUAUGGGGAGCAAACAGGAUUAGAUACCCUGGUA